This 400-nucleotide ribosomal RNA is filed under the name uncultured bacterium. Its description in RNAcentral is "bacterial SSU rRNA". It matches the Rfam family "Bacterial small subunit ribosomal RNA", at positions 355 to 747 of the family's 1533-position model. The record is from RNAcentral.
UGGGGAAUAUUGGACAAUGGGCGAAAGCCUGAUCCAGCCAUGCCGCGUGUGUGAAGAAGGCCUUCGGGUUGUAAAGCACUUUAAGCGAGGAGGAAUGGCUCUGGGUUAAUACCCUUGAGCAGUGACGUUACUCGCAGAAUAAGCACCGGCUAACUCUGUGCCAGCAGCCGCGGUAAUACAGAGGGUGCAAGCGUUAAUCGGAAUUACUGGGCGUAAAGCGCGCGUAGGCGGUUGCGUAAGUUGGAUGUGAAAUCCCCGGGCUCAACCUGGGAAUUGCAUUCAAAACUGCGCGGCUAGAGUGUGGGAGAGGAAGGUAGAAUUCCAGGUGUAGCGGUGAAAUGCGUAGAUAUCUGGAGGAAUACCGAUGGCGAAGGCAGCCUUCUGGCCUAACACUGACGCU